GAGCAGUAGGGAAUCUUCCGCAAUGGACGAAAGUCUGACGGAGCAACGCCGCGUGAGUGAUGAAGGCUUUCGGGUCGUAAAACUCUGUUGUUAGGGAAGAACAAGUACGAGAGUAACUGCUUGUACCUUGACGGUACCUAACCAGAAAGCCACGGCUAACUACGUGCCAGCAGCCGCGGUAAUACGUAGGUGGCAAGCGUUAUCCGGAAUUAUUGGGCGUAAAGCGCGCGCAGGCGGUUUCUUAAGUCUGAUGUGAAAGCCCACGGCUCAACCGUGGAGGGUCAUUGGAAACUGGGGAACUUGAGUGCAGAAGAGAAAAGCGGAAUUCCACGUGUAGCGGUGAAAUGCGUAGAGAUGUGGAGGAACACCAGUGGCGAAGGCGGCUUUUUGGUCUGUAACUGACGCUGAGGCGCGAAAGCGUGGGGAGCAAACAGGAUUAGAUACCCUGGUAGUCCACGCCGUAAACGAUGAGUGCUAAGUGUUAGAGGGUUUCCGCCCUUUAGUGCUGCAGCUAACGCAUAAGCACUCCGCCUGGGAGACGCCAC
RNAcentral lists this ribosomal RNA (545 nucleotides) under Priestia megaterium. RNAcentral's name for it is "bacterial SSU rRNA". It matches the Rfam family "Bacterial small subunit ribosomal RNA", at positions 349 to 886 of the family's 1533-position model. Lineage: Bacteria; Bacillati; Bacillota; Bacilli; Caryophanales; Bacillaceae. The record is from RNAcentral.